GACGAACCGAGCGAACGUUGUUCGGAAUCACUGGGCUUGAAGGGCGCGUAGGCGGGCUGUCAAGUCUGGGGUGAAAUCCCGCGGCUCAACCGUGGAACUGCCUUAGAUACUGACGGCCUCGAGGGAGGUAGGGGCGAGCGGAACUGUGAGUGGAGCGGUGAAAUGCGUUGAUAUUCACAGGAACUCCGGUGGCGAAGGCGGCUCGCUGGACCUUUUCUGACGCUGAGGCGCGAAAGCUAGGGGAGCAAACGGG
This 253-nucleotide ribosomal RNA is filed under the name uncultured bacterium. RNAcentral describes it as "partial 16S ribosomal RNA". It matches the Rfam family "Bacterial small subunit ribosomal RNA", at positions 524 to 776 of the family's 1533-position model. The record is from RNAcentral.